CUUCUGCACGUUCCUUUCGUUCACUUCAAAUGUCACUCGCAUUACGCAUUACGCAUACGCCACGUUGCUUUCACUUUGCUGCUGCUGAACAAAAAUCAGAUACCUGUCCCAAGAGGCAACUACUUUACGCACUUUACAACACUUUUGGCUGUUCACUAAAUUACUUUUUAUUGUUUCAAUUUAUUUUAUUCCGAAAGUUUUUUAAUUGUUUAUCGCUUCUCAAUGUUUGCUUCUCUUUUGACUUUUUAAUUAAACAUUUUAUUUUGUAUUCAGCUAUUUUGUUUUUUUUCUCUAUUUUGUUCUUUGUCACAACUCGCAAACCCGUAAAAC
Molecule: long non-coding RNA, 330 nt
Organism: Drosophila arizonae
Lineage: Eukaryota; Metazoa; Arthropoda; Insecta; Diptera; Drosophilidae
Source: RefSeq, a predicted model, not a curated record